RNAcentral lists this ribosomal RNA (253 nucleotides) under uncultured bacterium. Its description in RNAcentral is "partial 16S ribosomal RNA". It matches the Rfam family "Bacterial small subunit ribosomal RNA", at positions 524 to 776 of the family's 1533-position model. The record is from RNAcentral.
UACGUAGGGCGCAAGCGUUGUCCGGAAUUAUUGGGCGUAAAGAGCUCGUAGGCGGUUUGUUGCGUCUGCCGUGAAAACCCGAGGCUUAACCUCGGGCUGGCGGUGGAUACGGGCAGACUAGAGGUAGGUAGGGGAGAAUGGAAUUCCCGGUGUAGCGGUGAAAUGCGCAGAUAUCGGGAGGAACACCGGUGGCGAAGGCGGUUCUCUGGGCCUUACCUGACGCUGAGGAGCGAAAGCGUGGGGAGCGAACAGG